CUAACCCCGACCGAAGGGAAGGGCGAGGUCCGUUAACGGAAGUGAUUAGGUAACUGGGGUG
This 61-nucleotide ribosomal RNA is filed under the name uncultured bacterium. RNAcentral describes it as "partial 16S ribosomal RNA". The record is from RNAcentral.